CAGCCGCCGCGGUAAUACGAAGGGUGCAAGCGUUAAUCGGAAUUACUGGGCGUAAAGCGUGCGUAGGCGGUGAGUUAAGUCUGCUGUGAAAUCCCCGGGCUCAACCUGGGAAUGGCAGUGGAUACUGGCUCGCUAGAGUAUGGCAGAGGGGGGUAGAAUUCCACGUGUAGCAGUGAAAUGCGUAGAGAUGUGGAGGAAUACCGAUGGCGAAGGCAGCCCCCUGGGCCAAUACUGACGCUCAUGCACGAAAGCGUGGGGAGCAAACAGGAUUAGAUACCCCCGUAGUCCCUGUCUCUUAUAC
This 301-nucleotide ribosomal RNA is filed under the name uncultured bacterium. Its description in RNAcentral is "partial 16S ribosomal RNA". It matches the Rfam family "Bacterial small subunit ribosomal RNA", at positions 509 to 807 of the family's 1533-position model. The record is from RNAcentral.